This 430-nucleotide ribosomal RNA is filed under the name uncultured bacterium. RNAcentral's name for it is "bacterial SSU rRNA". It matches the Rfam family "Bacterial small subunit ribosomal RNA", at positions 355 to 776 of the family's 1533-position model. The record is from RNAcentral.
UGAGGAAUAUUGCGCAAUGGGGGCAACCCUGACGCAGUGACGCCGCGUGAGUGAUGAAGGCUUUCGAGUCGUAAAGCUCUGUUGGGUGGAAAGAAACAUUCCGGCGCUAAUAUCGCCGGGACUUGACGGUACCACCAGAGGAAGCACCGGCUAACUCCGUGCCAGCAGCCGCGGUAAUACGGAGGGUGCAAGCGUUGUUCGGAUUUACUGGGCGUAAAGGGCGUGUAGGCGGUUGGCUAAGUCAGAUGUGAAAUCCCUUGGCUUAACUAAGGAACGGCAUUUGAAACUAGCUAACUAGAGUACAGGAGAGGAAAGUGGAAUUCCCAGUGUAGAGGUGAAAUUCAUAGAUAUUGGGAGGAACACCGGUAGCGAAGGCGGCUUUCUGGCCUGAUACUGACGCUGAGACGCGAAAGCGUGGGUAGCAAACAGG